RNAcentral lists this small RNA (156 nucleotides) under Photorhabdus asymbiotica. The stretch from base 51 to 155 matches the Rfam family "t44 RNA". Rfam says of the family: This family consists of a number of bacterial RNA genes of between 135 and 170 bases in length. The t44 gene is found between the map and rpsB genes in all species in the full alignment apart from Shigella flexneri. Lineage: Bacteria; Pseudomonadati; Pseudomonadota; Gammaproteobacteria; Enterobacterales; Morganellaceae. The record is from RNAcentral.
CGGCGUUUUGUGUAUUUGUCACUGAGACGAAACAAUAAGGACGCUAAAUAUACUCAUUGUGUAAAUAACACACACGGGCCGGCACAUACACCGGGGUGCUCUCAUGCAGAAUAUGCGGUUAGGAGUCGGUGUUAUGGGGUUCGUGGAGGCAUAACC